UACGGGGGGAGCAAGCGUUGUUCGGAUUUACUGGGCGUAAAGGGCGCGUAGGCGGCCACCGCAAGUCGACUGUGAAAUCUCCGGGCUUAACCCGGAAAGGUCAGCCGAUACUGCGGGGCUAGAGUGCGGAGGGGGCAACUGGAAUUCUCGGUGUAGCGGUGAAAUGCGUAGAUAUCGAGAGGAACACCUGCGGCGAAGGCGGGUUGCUGGGCUGACACUGACGCUGAGGCGCGAAAGCUAGGGGAGCGAACGGG
RNAcentral lists this ribosomal RNA (254 nucleotides) under uncultured bacterium. RNAcentral describes it as "partial 16S ribosomal RNA". It matches the Rfam family "Bacterial small subunit ribosomal RNA", at positions 524 to 776 of the family's 1533-position model. The record is from RNAcentral.